Molecule: ribosomal RNA, 696 nt
Filed under: uncultured marine bacterium
Lineage: Bacteria
Description: bacterial SSU rRNA
Rfam family: Bacterial small subunit ribosomal RNA
Source: RNAcentral
GGACGACAGCUGGCGGCAUGCCUAACACAUGCAAGUCGAACGCUAUUUAUAGAGUGGCGCACGGGUGAGUAACGCGUGGGAACCUGCCUUUUUCUGCGGGAUAACGGUUGGAAACGACCGCUAAUACCGCAUACGCCCUACGGGGGAAAGGUCCGCCGGAGAAAGAGGGGCCCGCGUCUGAUUAGCUAGUUGGUGGGGUAACGGCCUACCAAGGCAACGAUCAGUAGCUGGUCUGAGAGGAUGAUCAGCCACACUGGGACUGAGACACGGCCCAGACUCCUACGGGAGGCAGCAGUGGGGAAUAUUGGACAAUGGGGGCAACCCUGAUCCAGCAAUGCCGCGUGUGUGAUGAAGGCCUUAGGGUUGUAAAGCACUUUCACUGGUGAAGAUGAUGACGGUAACCAGAGAAGAAGCCCCGGCUAACUUCGUGCCAGCAGCCGCGGUAAUACGAAGGGGGCGAGCGUUGUUCGGAAUUACUGGGCGUAAAGGGCGCGUAGGCGGUCUUUUAAGUUAGGCGUGAAAUCCCCGGGCUCAACCCGGGAACUGCGCUUAAGACUGGAGGACUAGAAAACGGAAGAGGGUAGUGGAAUUCCCAGUGUAGAGGUGAAAUUCCUAGAUAUUGGGAAGAACACCAAUGGCGAAAGCGGCUACCUGGUCCGAUUUUGACCCUGAGGCGCGAAAGCCGUGGGGAGGCAA